AUGAACGCUGGCGGCGUGCCUAAUACAUGCAAGUCGAGCGAACGGACGAGAAGCUUGCUUCUCUGAUGUUAGCGGCGGACGGGUGAGUAACACGCGGAUAACCUACCUAUAAGACUGGGAUAACUUCGGGAAACCGGAGCUAAUACCGGAUAAUAUUUUGAACCGCAUGGUUCAAAAGUGAAAGACGGUCUUGCUGUCACUUAUAGAUGGAUCCGCGCUGCAUUAGCUAGUUGGUAAGGUAACGGCUUACCAAGGCAACGAUGCAUAGCCGACCUGAGAGGGUGAUCGGCCACACUGGAACUGAGACACGGUCCAGACUCCUACGGGAGGCAGCAGUAGGGAAUCUUCCGCAAUGGGCGAAAGCCUGACGGAGCAACGCCGCGUGAGUGAUGAAGGUCUUCGGAUCGUAAAACUCUGUUAUUAGGGAAGAACAUAUGUGUAAGUAACUGUGCACAUCUUGACGGUACCUAAUCAGAAAGCCACGGCUAACUACGUG
This 496-nucleotide ribosomal RNA is filed under the name uncultured bacterium. Its description in RNAcentral is "partial 16S ribosomal RNA". It matches the Rfam family "Bacterial small subunit ribosomal RNA", at positions 29 to 507 of the family's 1533-position model. The record is from RNAcentral.